Molecule: long non-coding RNA, 222 nt
Filed under: Elaeis guineensis (African oil palm)
Lineage: Eukaryota; Viridiplantae; Streptophyta; Magnoliopsida; Arecales; Arecaceae
Description: long non-coding RNA (EGUI_LNC036992)
Source: RNAcentral
CUCUUCUCUCUCUCUUCUCCAUGCCACACCCUCUCUCCCUCUUCUCUCUCCCAUGCCCAAAGCUUGGGUAUUCAUAUUCCACAUGCUAAGAAGAAGAAGAGUCUCUUCUACAACAAGGAACAAGGAGAAGGAGGCUGUAGUUCAAGGGUUGAAGUUGCAGUCAAGAUCAUUUGCUAAUCAAGAUUCAAAUAGGCAAAUAUUCUACUUAGAGAAGAAGGAUCU